This 425-nucleotide ribosomal RNA is filed under the name uncultured bacterium. Its description in RNAcentral is "partial 16S ribosomal RNA". It matches the Rfam family "Bacterial small subunit ribosomal RNA", at positions 354 to 796 of the family's 1533-position model. The record is from RNAcentral.
GUGGGGAAUCUUGCGCAAUGGGCGAAAGCCUGACGCAGCCAUGCCGCGUGAAUGAUGAAGGUCUUAGGAUUGUAAAAUUCUUUCACCGGGGACGAUAAUGACGGUACCCGGAGAAGAAGCUCCGGCUAACUUCGUGCCAGCAGCCGCGGUAAUACGAAGGGGGCUAGCGUUGCUCGGAAUUACUGGGCGUAAAGGGCGCGUAGGCGGACAGCUUAGUCAGAGGUGAAAGCCCAGGGCUCAACCUUGGAAUUGCCUUUGAUACUGGCUGUCUUGAGUGUGGGAGAGGUGAGUGGAACUCCGAGUGUAGAGGUGAAAUUCGUAGAUAUUCGGAAGAACACCAGUGGCGAAGGCGACUCACUGGCCCAAUACUGACGCUGAGGCGCGAAAGCGUGGGGAGCAAACAGGAUUAGAUACCCCGGUAGUCC